RNAcentral lists this ribosomal RNA (253 nucleotides) under uncultured bacterium. RNAcentral describes it as "partial 16S ribosomal RNA". It matches the Rfam family "Bacterial small subunit ribosomal RNA", at positions 524 to 776 of the family's 1533-position model. The record is from RNAcentral.
UACGUAGGGCGCAAGCGUUGGCCGGAAUUAUUGGGCGUAAAGAGCUCGUAGGCGGCUUGUCGCGUCGGAUGUGAAAGCCCGGGGCUUAACCCCGGGUCUGCAUUCGAUACGGGCAGGCUGGAGUGUGGUAGGGGAGAUCGGAAUUCCUGGUGUAGCGGUGAAAUGCGCAGAUAUCAGGAGGAACACCGGUGGCGAAAGCGGCUCACUGGCCCGAUAUUGACGCUCAUGUACGAAAGCGUGGGGAGCAAACAGG